UAAUGCUUCUGAUACAGUUGAAAGUUCGAGCCUUCAGGGAGAGUUGGAACCAGCAUCAUUUUCCUGGACAUAUGAAGAAAUUAAAGAAGUUCACAAGCGUUGGUGGCAAUUGAGAGAUAAUGCUGUAGAAAUCUUUCUAACAAAUGGCAGAACACUCCUGUUGGCAUUUGAUAACACCAAGGUUCGUGAUGAUGUAUACCACAAUAUACUCACAAAUAACCUCCCUAAUCUUUUGGAAUAUGGUAACAUCACCGCUCUGACAAAUUUAUGGUAUACUGGGCAAAUUACUAAUUUUGAAUAUUUGACUCACUUAAACAAACAUGCUGGCCGAUCCUUCAAUGAUCUCAUGCAGUAUCCUGUGUUCCCAUUUAUACUUGCUGACUACAUUAGUGAGACACUUGACCUCAAUGAUCCGUUGAUAUACAGAAAUCUCUCUAAACCUAUAGCUGUUCAGUAUAAAGAAAAAGAAGAUCGUUAUGUGGACACAUACAAGUACUUGGAGGAAGAGUACCGCAAAGGAGCCAGAGAAGAUGACCCCAUGCCUCCCGUGCAGCCCUAUCACUAUGGCUCCCACUAUUCCAACAGCGGCACUGUGCUUCACUUCCUGGUCAGGAUGCCUCCUUUCACUAAGAUGUUUUUAGCCUAUCAAGAUUUUUUUUAGUGGCUAGCCAAUGCCAAUUGACUCAACAGAAUAGAUGAGAAAGUAAUACAAGUGACA
RNAcentral lists this small RNA (718 nucleotides) under Pongo abelii (Sumatran orangutan). RNAcentral describes it as "processed transcript". The record is from RNAcentral. Lineage: Eukaryota; Metazoa; Chordata; Mammalia; Primates; Hominidae.